Non-coding RNA from Rattus norvegicus (Norway rat), 2188 nucleotides. The record is from RefSeq and is a predicted model, not a curated record. Lineage: Eukaryota; Metazoa; Chordata; Mammalia; Rodentia; Muridae.
GAGAUUUGAACUUCCUCUCCGCCCAGUCUGUGUGAACAGGAAAGUGAAGUUGCCUGGUUGUUUUCCAGUCAGGCCUUGCAACUAGCAGGGGUUCCGGGCAGCCUACAGAGAUGGUGGAAGGGCCAGGAUGUACACUGAAUGGAGAGAAGAUUCGGGCACGAGUGCUACCGGGACAGGCGAUGACUGGUGUGCGGGGAACAGCUCUGCAGGGCCUCUUGGGCUCUGCCUUGUCCCCCGCAGCCUCCCUGGCUGAGGUCACUAGCUCGGCUGCUCCAAUGAACGCUAAAGAUUCUGGCUGGAAAGUCUUGAGACUGUUUAAUGGAUGUGUUUACAGUGGUGUGGAAACCUUGGGGAAGGAGCUGUUUAUGUACUUUGGCCCAAGAGCUUUACGGAUUCAUUUCGGAAUGAAAGGCUCCAUCUUGAUUAACCCGCCUAAGUGUGAAAAUAGAGGUGGAGUUUCUCCAGCUUUUGAAGUGCAGCUCACCAAUGACUUGAUCUGUUUCUUUGACUCUUCAGUAAAACUCAGAAAUUCAGUGGAAAGCCAACAAAGAGUCAGAAUGAUGGAAGGAUUGGAUGUAUGCUCACCAAAGUUCAGUCUCUCAAGAGCAGAAAGUGAAGUUAAGAAGCAGAGAGAUCGGAUGCUGUGUGAUGUGUUACUGGAUCAGAGGGUGUUGCCUGGUGUAGGGAACAUCAUCAAAAAUGAAGCUCUCUUUGACAGUGGACUCCAUCCAACUGUUAAGGUGUGUCAACUAUCAGACAAACAGGCCCAUCACCUUGUGAAGAUGACCCGGGAUUUCAGCAUUCUCUUCUACAGGUGCCGUAAAGCAGGAUCUGCCAUUUCUAAACACUAUAAGGUUUAUAAGCGUCCUAACUGUGCACAGUGCCACUGCAAAAUUAGAGUGUGUCGCUUAGGGGAGAACAGCAGGAUGACGUAUUUCUGUCCUCACUGUCAGAAAGAAAACCCUCAACAUGUUCAAAUAUGCAAACUGCCAACAAGAAUGCUGAAAUCAGCUGGACUCCUAAAGGACAGGAUUGCUUUACCGACUCAGUAGCUCGGAAGUCUGAAGAGCAGUGGUCCUGCAUGGUUUGCACCCUCAUAAACAAACCCUCGGCUACGGCCUGCGAUGCUUGCCUGACGACAAGGCCUGUGGAUUCAGUGCUCAAAAAUGAAGAGAAUUCCAUUGCCUUUAGCAACUUAGUGAAGUACCCUUUUAAUAACUUUGAGAACACACACACUGAAAUAAAGAUCAACAGGAAAACUGUGUUUGGAAAUACAACCCUUGUUUUGACUGAUUUGAGCAACAAAUCUAGUGCUUUGGCCAGAAAAAGCAGCCCAAGCCAGACAAUAGAUGGGGAAUCUCAAAUUUUUCUUCCUACAGACAUAUGUUUCAGUGAUCCACAGCACAUCUCCAAAGAAGGAGUAAACUAUAUAACUCAACCAUCCAACAAGGUAAACAUGUCGUCCACAGUUGGUGCCCAGUCUAAAUUAUUUACUUCAGCACAUAAAAAAUUGAAAACAGCUCACUCUUUGGCAACAGAACUUAAAAGUUACAACUCUGGACUUUCUAACAGUGAACUCCAAACCAAUAUAAGAAGUGAUCCUUGUUCUCUACAUGCCAGCAGGCCUCAGUGCAAGACGCACAGCCGGCCCUGUGUUCUCCGAGUUGUGAGGAAGGAUGGAGAAAACAAAGGAAGGCAGUUUUAUGCAUGUUCUCUGCCCAGAGGAGCACAGUGCGGAUUUUUUGAAUGGGCAGACCUGUCCUUCCCGUUCUGCGGACAUGGCAAGCGCUCCAUUAUGAAAACUGUGUUGAAGAUUGGACCUAAUAAUGGGAAGAAUUUUUUUGUAUGUCCUUUGGAGAAAGAAAAGCAGUGUAAUUUUUUCCAGUGGGCAGAAAGUGGACCAGAAAUGGAAAUUAUUCCAGGAUGCUAAUAUUUUUCUCUUUUUAAAGAAUGACUGCCAUAUAAACUCAUCAACCUCACAAUGUCAGUCCCCUUUGUUUAAUAGAAAGCUCAUAGAAUACCUGUGGAAUAUAUAGUAGUAUUUGAGAUGUACUCUUUGUUUAAAUAUGUGACCUUCACUUUUUUUGUUGUAAUAGUGAACACACUAUUUCACCAGAGGCACAGUUCCAUAAAAUGAAUAUUUAAUAAUGCAUAUUUAGUAAUGAUAUCAAUAAAGUAUUCAAUACGA